This 549-nucleotide long non-coding RNA is filed under the name Fukomys damarensis (Damara mole-rat). Its description in RNAcentral is "lncRNA (ENSFDAG00000024160.1)". The record is from RNAcentral. Lineage: Eukaryota; Metazoa; Chordata; Mammalia; Rodentia; Bathyergidae.
AACGGACUACACAAUACACGCACUACAGAUGGGUGCCCGGGGACCUCAGAACCAACCGCUGUGGACACCAGGAGACAGCUGUGCCUCAUUUGUCUCUGCCUGGAUUUCAGUCUGUUGGGGGUCAGAGCUAGAAAAGAAUCGGCUGCUAAUUUUCUUCCGUGAUGUUUACUUUCCCCUAAGGAACUCAGAGACUCAAAGAUUUAAAAGUCCUGUGCCCACGGAGAAUUGCCGACUGAAGGGGACGGAGCGGACCGGGUCCCUUAGGUGUGGAGACCAUUGUCAUCAGAGUGUGAAAAUGAAAUGACUCUGUAUGUAGGUCACUGACCCCCUUCUCUACUGUGAGAUCCGUGGCCCUGUGAGUGGUGCUCUGCUGUGUGGUGACAUUCCUCUCUCCUGAAACUGCAAGUAUUUGAGGGCAGAGGCAAGGUCUGGUGUAGCACAACCCAUGCAAAAGUGCAAAUGCAACUGAGCGAGGAAAGGAUCUUUGACAAACAUCACUGGAAUAACUGUCAUCCUCCUGCAACAAUACAAAUAACAAUGAUGACAAAC